RNAcentral lists this unclassified non-coding RNA (594 nucleotides) under Macairea multinervia. Its description in RNAcentral is "partial external transcribed spacer". The record is from RNAcentral. Lineage: Eukaryota; Viridiplantae; Streptophyta; Magnoliopsida; Myrtales; Melastomataceae.
CAGGCUUGCUCGGGUGGCAUUUCGAUCGUCCGGUGGCCCCUCCGUGGCGUCGUCGGUCGGUCGCGUGUUUCUCGUCUUGCUUUGGGACGACGCGUGAGCGGCUUUUAGGACGUGAUCCCGGGGCAGGCUCCGUGCUCGGGCAUCGAACUGCCCCGUUCCGUCCCUCUCAUUGGUUGUGGUCCGCCGCUGUCCUUUCAGGGACGGUUGCGGCCGCGGGUUGGGUUCCUGUUCUAGAUAUCCGAACGCGAUAGUUGGAAGGAUUCUCGUCCCCGUCGUGGUACCGUCCGUCCGCCCCCUCCCCCCCGGGGAGCCGGCGGAUUUCAUGUUGCGGGCGUCCGACGUUCUCCAUCGGGAAAGCGACCCCCGCUCGGGCUCUUCCUCUCGAUGGCGCGUCGGUGCUGCCGGGCAUGCUCUCGGGUACGGAGAUUUCGUCGGUUGGUCGCACCGGUCCUCGGUGGCCGUUGCGACCCGUACGUGUCGAGGCCUUACCGCCUCUGCUCGCGCGACCCUCGCGCUUUGCCUCUGUGGGAUCGCGGAGCCUAAAUCCCUCCGCGAUCGCCUCCGGGGCGGGCGUCGAGGUUUCCGGAGGAACGC